AUGGCGUAGAGCGGAGGGUGUGCGGCGGAGGGGACGAGGGGACCUUCUUCUCUCCUCUCCGGCGUGGAAGGAGGGAGAGAAGGGGGCCCGGAGGAUUUCGCUAUAAUCUUUUCUAAAUGUGUCCCCAGCCGGAGCGGUCCUUCCUCACAGGAAAAGCCGGUAUGCGUCCAGUUUGGGAGACCUAAAUGUGUCACCGUAGAGGAAGAACCACCCCCCACGGCUUUUGUUUACCAUUGUGUGUAGCUGCAGCCCAAACCACAGCCGAAAUAUCUCUGCAUCGUUUCGGACCAACUCACACCAAGGAUGGGUUUUCCAGUUAAUGCAGUCAUGAAACCAGCUGAAGCCCAGUGCGGAGGAACAUCUUCCUUCAGAUCAGGCCAGGCCUCACUGACAGAUCACUCCCACCACCACCACCCAGACCCGUGGAGAUAAAGAACGAAGAGUCAGUGAGAAGAUGACCUCUUUUGGGGUUUUGGGACACGGGUGCCCUCUUUCCUGCUGUUGCUGUGACAAUGGCCCUUUCUCCUCCACAGUAUCCCCUCUUGUCCUGGCCUGUUUCUGCAGCAUGAUCAUCAGUGAGGACAUAUUUCAGUAUUUUGGGCUAGUCUGACUUCCAUCACGCACACUCUAUGUCUACAUGUAGCCUAAUUCUGGCUGAGAUACCAUGGAGUUUCUGCACUGGCUAUAUUUGUCUGAAAGUCUCCAUAAUUUGGACAUUUUCAGUCAGAUUUUUGUCAGAUUCUUUUCAGACUUCAUGUAAACAUAGUAACUGUUUUUCCUGAAUAAGUAAAAAAAAAAAUCCCCACUUUCAUUUUAAUAACACCAGAGCAGGUUGAUAAACAAAUUAACUGCUCCUGUUUUCUGGGACGAAAGUAAAGACACAAGAUACUGUAGCAAAGAUCAAGGCCUGUGAUCAAAUUACUUAUUGGGUGUCUUUUCUUUUUUUUUUUUUGCUUUUUGCUCUACCUCAUCGCCAUAACAAGUCCAACAGGAGUGAAAGGGAGUGUGAUCAGUACAAGUAGCUUAAUGGUUGUCAAGCACCACAGCAGUUUUACAUAUUGUUCCUGGAUGAAUUUAGAGGGUUAAUAAGUGAGGUUGUGAACAGGUGAAUAGGAGAAGACUGAGUAGCCCACAUGCACAUGAUGCACAGUGUCAUUUACUUUAAUUUCAGCCAUUUUUAGAAAAACACUGACUCACUCAGACUGUGGUCUCCAGUGCAUCUGUUCUAAAGGAAGGCCACAAGAUCGUAGUUUUACUCCAUUAUUGUUGUGUUUCAGGUUUACAGUGCUCUCCUUUGUCAAGUCUGCAGGUUUAAUCAAUUGUAGGCAGAGACAGAAGUGCUGAUAUUUCCCUUAUGACUUAAUUCUUGAGGUCCCAAAUUUUUGGCAACUUAUAGUAUUUAAAGUUCUUCUUUUAUUAUGAAGGUCUAGUUCACUUUUCGUACCUUAGUAUACUCUUCAUUUUGUCUUUUUUCUUUAACAUACUUUUAAUUUGUCUUUCCCCGGCAUAUAUUCUCAUUUUAUCCUUUUCAUACUUUAACAUGUUCUUAUUUUUUCUAACACUCACCCCCUUAGUGUUAGCUUUCAUUUAUCCAUGUUGUAACCUUAUGAGAUGUAUAAAUAGGCAAUUUUUAACACACUGCCCGUAGAGACAGAACAGAUCAUUUGAUUUCUUCUGUUCCAAGAACCAUGAGACAAAAUAAUCCAAAAAAACUAAGUGGAAAACAUUGUGUUUUGUCUCUAAACUGCUAUUUUGAUGUGUCCAGUAAGUUGAGAGACACCAGCGCUGAAACAUCAGCUUUAAUUCACCUUGUAUUUAUCCUUAUCUGAAGGAAACCCUGGUCUCAUUUUUUUCAGUCUUCUUUGUUAAUUUUUAUAUGAUUUAUACGAGAAAACCCACAUUUACCGGGAUUUGUGCAAUAUUUGAUCUUAACUGUCAUUUUGUUGACCAAACUGUAUAUUGUAUAAACAAGUGACAAGUUGUUUGAAAGCAACAAAAUCACCAAUGUCUUCCAUUAAGAUAUGUAUAGACUCGUGCAUUAGCUUAUUUAGCGGGACUGUGGUGCCAACAUUAUAGUAGCCAUGCAUGACCAGUAGUGAUGCUUGCUUCAUGAAGAAUAGUGAAAUUGAUUUCUAGACUAAGCUGGAGCUCAAAACUGUGGAAACUAUUUCAGUAAAAUUAAAGGGUGGUAGACUGACGUACUAAACCUUCAAAUACACCACAUCUAGACACAGCUUUGCCCUAAAACCUUAGAUGAAUGCAAGAUCUCCUUUUUAUUCCAUGUCUAGGUUGUAUAAUGAAAAUAUGCUCAAUAUAAGUUAGUGCUUUCUGACAGACCUGCUGUAUGUUCUUAGGAUUCUUAUCUUAAAAAAGAUGAUGUCCUAAAAUGUACUUGUGCACUCUCAAGCAUCAAAAGACUUAGGUAGUUAUUAAGUGACAGCCAAAAAGCUCCCAAGACACAAGUCUCAGACGCGACAAUGAUAGAAACCUUUAAAUGUCAUAUUAAGAGUAGUACCUUAAUCCUAGACUCGGAUCUAAUUGGUAGGGAUCCGACGUGGUGUUUUAGUCCUAGAAUUAAGAUCUCACCAUGACAUUAUAUUGUACAUAAUACCUCAUAGUUUUGGGAUUCAGAGCGUUAUAUUUUAAUCCAUAAAAUUGUAUUUGAUUAGAGUUUUAGAAGCAAUAACCUACAAUAAUGCAUGAGUUUAGUGCCAGGGUGUAAGUGUUAAGGAUUCUGCAACGUCACGUGGAAAGGACCCCCCACUCCCACCCCCUUUUCAUGCCUAUGGUAGCAAUCUAUCUAUCAGACACUUUUUUGGGGAGUCGUAUAAUAUUUGGCUUUAGAAUACAGUAUCACUUAUGAAGGUUUGGGAUACUUCACAAGGUGUACCUGAGGACUGCUGUAGCAUAACGGUAUUACAUUGACAAAUUUAACUAAAUACUUAUAUUUUUCAGAGACUAUUUUCCCUGCCUUGUAUGCUUUCAACACCAAAACAAUAAUGUAAACCAACCGGUACAUGAGAGAUGCUUUAAAUUUCAAUUCUUGUAGCAUUUUACAUCCACAAAACCCACCCCUUCCUUUAGAAAUAUAGGCUUUCAGAAACUCUGUGGCUGCAAAGUACUUACUGAACGAACUUGACAUGUCUGAAAAGCACUUUCUUUCUAUGUACUGACUUGCACCAUCAUCAUCACCAUCCUGUCUUGAAUACUGUGUUCUAAAAACCCUGUAAUGCUCUUUGUGGGGAUUUAUAAUCAAUUUAUAAGCAAGUAGGCGUCUAGCAACAUGAAUAUAUGGGUUUAAAAAAUAUGCAUGACCUAGCAGAAUAAUGAAUGAUUUGUAUUGCAUGCAAUAAUCCAACUUUGUAAUGUGAAUGAGUGUAAAAUUAGGAUAUUGAAAUGUUCAUAUCAGAUGUUCUGUGACAACUUGGGGACGGUUGUCUGACACAACAGCAAGCAUGUUGAAGUACUUUUGAUCAUCAGUUGUGGUUUUUACAGACUAAACAGCACCAAAAAAAAAAGAUGUAACGGAGAGUAGUUUUAAGUGUUUCUGCUCUCACUCUCUGUUGUGUCAUGACCAUGGCAGUAGUGCAACAGUGCAGCUGAAAAACACUGAUCAACCUUUGUUCCCAUGAAAAAAACAACAACAAAAAAACACAAAAGCUUAGGUAAGAAGAUUAAUAACAUUACUUUGUUGAUCAACUUUUCCACUGAGGAGGUGGACUGUGUAGAAACUAUGCACUCCAGACGGAGGAAGUGGGCAUGCUUAUUAUGUGUGAGCCUCUUGUCUGGUUUUGUAUUAAUAAAAAAAAAAAAAAGAAUCUGUAUCAGAAA
Molecule: long non-coding RNA, 3831 nt
Organism: Toxotes jaculatrix (banded archerfish)
Lineage: Eukaryota; Metazoa; Chordata; Actinopteri; Toxotidae
Exons: 2
Source: RefSeq, a predicted model, not a curated record